AACGAACGCUGGCGGCAUGCCUAACACAUGCAAGUCGAACGAGACCUUCGGGUCUAGUGGCGCACGGGUGCGUAACGCGUGGGAAUCUACCCUCAGGUUCGGAAUAACUCAGAGAAAUUUGAGCUAAUACCGGAUGAUGACGUAAGUCCAAAGAUUUAUCGCCUGAGGAUGAGCCCGCGUAGGAUUAGGUAGUUGGUGAGGUAAAGGCUCACCAAGCCGACGAUCCUUAGCUGGUCUGAGAGGAUGAUCAGCCACACUGGGACUGAGACACGGCCCAGACUCCUACGGGAGGAAGCAGUGGGGAAUAUUGGACAAUGGGCGAAAGCCUGAUCCAGCAAUGCCGCGUGAGUGAUGAAGGCCUUAGGGUUGUAAAGCUCUUUUACCCGGGAUGAUAAUGACAGUACCGGGAGAAUAAGCUCCGGCUAACUCCGUG
This 433-nucleotide ribosomal RNA is filed under the name uncultured bacterium. RNAcentral's name for it is "partial 16S ribosomal RNA". It matches the Rfam family "Bacterial small subunit ribosomal RNA", at positions 29 to 507 of the family's 1533-position model. The record is from RNAcentral.